CAGUCGCCGCGGGAAUACAGAGGGUGCGAGCGUUAAUCGGAUUUACUGGGCGUAAAGCGUGCGUAGGCGGCUUCUUAAGUCGGAUGUGAAAUCCCUGAGCUUAACUUAGGAAUUGCAUUCGAUACUGGGAAGCUAGAGUAUGGGAGAGGAUGGUUGAAUUCCAGGUGUAGCGGUGAAAUGCGUAGAGAUCUGGAGGAAUACCGAUGGCGAAGGCAGCCAUCUGGCCUAAUACUGACGCUGAGGUACGAAAGCAUGGGGAGCAAACAGGAUUAGAUACCCCCGUAGUCCCUGUCUCUUAUAC
Molecule: ribosomal RNA, 301 nt
Filed under: uncultured bacterium
Lineage: Bacteria
Description: partial 16S ribosomal RNA
Rfam family: Bacterial small subunit ribosomal RNA
Source: RNAcentral